GACGAACGCUGGCGGCGUGCUUAACACAUGCAAGUCGAACGGAAAGGCCCCUUUGGGGGUACUCGAGUGGCGAACGGGUGAGUAACACGUGAGUAACCUGCCCUUGACUUCGGGAUAACUUCAGGAAACUGGGGCUAAUACCGGAUAGGAAUCCUUGCUGCAUGGGGGGGGUUGGAAAGCUGCGGCGGUUUUGGAUGGACUCGCGGCUUAUCAGCUUGUUGGUGGGGUAGUGGCUUACCAAGGCGUUGACGGGUAGCCGGCCUGAGAGGGCGACCGGCCACAUUGGGACUGAGAUACGGCCCAGACUCCUACGGGAGGCAGAAGUGGGGAAUAUUGCACAAUGGGCGGAAGCCUGAUGCAGCAACGCCGCGGGCGGGAUGACGGCCUUCGGGUUGUAAACCGCUUUCAGCAGGGGCGAAGCUUGUGGUGACGGUACCUGCAGAAGAAGCACCGGCUAACUACGUG
This 465-nucleotide ribosomal RNA is filed under the name uncultured bacterium. Its description in RNAcentral is "partial 16S ribosomal RNA". It matches the Rfam family "Bacterial small subunit ribosomal RNA", at positions 28 to 507 of the family's 1533-position model. The record is from RNAcentral.